UUCGCAAUGCCCGAAAGGGUGACGAAGCGACGCCGCGUGCGGGAAGAAGGCCUUCGGGUUGUAAACCGCUGUCGGGAGUUAAGAAAUGCAAGGAUGUUAAUAGCAUCUUUGCUUGACUAAGGCUCCGGAGGAAGCCACGGCUAACUCUGUGCCAGCAGCCGCGGUAAUACAGAGGCGGCAAGCGUUGUUCGGAAUUAUUGGGCGUAAAGGGCACGUAGGCGGCCUUGUAAGUCAGUUGUGAAAGCCUUCUGCUUAACGGAAGAACAGCAGCUGAUACUGCAAGGCUAGAGUGCGGAAGGGGAGAGUGGAACUUCUGGUGGAGCGGUGAAAUGCGUAGAUAUCAGAAGGAACACCGGCGGCGAAGGCGACUCUCUGGUCCGUAACUGACGCUGAGUGUGCGAAAGCUAGGGGAGCAAACGGGAUUAGAUACCCCGGUAAUCCUAGCCGUAAAC
Molecule: ribosomal RNA, 452 nt
Filed under: uncultured bacterium
Lineage: Bacteria
Description: bacterial SSU rRNA
Rfam family: Bacterial small subunit ribosomal RNA
Source: RNAcentral